This is a long non-coding RNA of Lolium rigidum, 565 nucleotides long. RefSeq lists it as uncharacterized. The transcript has 2 exons. The record is from RefSeq and is a predicted model, not a curated record. NCBI's taxonomy places the organism in Eukaryota, Viridiplantae, Streptophyta, Magnoliopsida, Poales, Poaceae.
UGAAAAUAAUGUUUGUUGCGUGGUAGUACUUGAUUGCCACUUGACUAACAUCUUGUGUAUAUAUCUUGAAGGAACUAAGCUCGGCAAUUGCCUCCAAGCGAGUGGCAAGAGAAAACGAUGACUUGUGCUAUAUUACUAGAGCUAGAAUCAUUUGCUGGUUUUAGGCCUUAGAUUAAUCUUUGUAGAUUGUAUGACACUGACAUCAAAUUAAAAUUCAGUAUAAACCAUCAUGUUUACAAAUAGUGAGAGUUUUGUUGAGGACAUCUAACUGAAAGAGGUUUAUUUUUGACAUCAAAUUCUUCAUGAAAUAUGUCAGCAUCCACGGCCAGCUUGGAGCAUGUCCGUGCGCCAUCGGCAUGUGAUCCUGUUGGAGUUGAUGAGUGGCAGAGCCUCAUUGCAAAGGCGUUGUAUAUGCGGUCAACUACAGUUUGUGUGUCCGUUUAAAUAGCUGCAGCAGCUGAACACAUGUAUCUAUUUUUUUCUUUCUAUGUAAGAACUAUAUAAUUGUAAGUGUCAUCGGAUGUAAUGCACAUAUGAUAUAUGCACACUCUGGUAGUUCUGUUUA